AGAUUGAACGCUGGCGGCAUGCCUUACACAUGCAAGUCGAACGGCAGCACGGGUGCUUGCACCUGGUGGCGAGUGGCGAACGGGUGAGUAAUAUAUCGGAACGUACCCUAGAGUGGGGGAUAACGCAGCGAAAGUUGCGCUAAUACCGCAUACGAUCUACGGAUGAAAGUGGGGAUCGCAAGACCUCAUGCUCAUGGAGCGGCCGAUAUCUGUAUUAGCUUAGUUGGUGGGGUAAAAGCCUACCAAGGCAUCGAUCAGUAGCUGGUCUGAGAGGACGACCAGCCACACUGGAACUGAGACACGGUCAGACUCCUACGGGAGCAGUCGAGUGGGAAUUUUGGACAAGUCGGGCGACAAGCC
Molecule: ribosomal RNA, 360 nt
Filed under: uncultured soil bacterium
Lineage: Bacteria
Description: bacterial SSU rRNA
Rfam family: Bacterial small subunit ribosomal RNA
Source: RNAcentral